GGCAGCGUGGUCUAGUAGUUAGAGCACCGGACUGGGACGCCGGAGAUUUGGGUUCUUCUGUUCCUAGCUUUGCCA
This 75-nucleotide transfer RNA is filed under the name Chelonia mydas (Green sea turtle). It matches the Rfam family "tRNA". From Rfam's summary of the family: Transfer RNA (tRNA) molecules are approximately 80 nucleotides in length. Their secondary structure includes four short double-helical elements and three loops (D, anti-codon, and T loops). Lineage: Eukaryota; Metazoa; Chordata; Testudines; Cheloniidae. The record is from Rfam by way of RNAcentral.